This 305-nucleotide ribosomal RNA is filed under the name uncultured bacterium. RNAcentral's name for it is "partial 16S ribosomal RNA". It matches the Rfam family "Bacterial small subunit ribosomal RNA", at positions 508 to 809 of the family's 1533-position model. The record is from RNAcentral.
ACAGCAGCCGCCACGGGAAUACGUAGGUGGCAAGCGUUGUCCGGAAUUAUUGGGCGUAAAGGGCUCGCAGGCGGUUUCUUAAGUCUGAUGUGAAAGCCCCCGGCUCAACCGGGGAGGGUCAUUGGAAACUGGGAAACUUGAGUGCAGAAGAGGAGAGUGGAAUUCCACGUGUAGCGGUGAAAUGCGUAGAGAUGUGGAGGAACACCAGUGGCGAAGGCGGCUCACUGGACCGGCAUUGACGCUGAGGUGCGAAAGCGUGGGGAGCAAACAGGAUUAGAGACCCCUGUAGUCCCUGUCUCUUAUAU